This is a small nucleolar RNA of Pteronotus mesoamericanus, 125 nucleotides long. RefSeq annotates it as small nucleolar RNA SNORD22. The record is from RefSeq and is a predicted model, not a curated record. The transcript has a single exon. Lineage: Eukaryota; Metazoa; Chordata; Mammalia; Chiroptera; Mormoopidae.
UCCUAGAGGGUUAAAAAGAGUCAUGUAUCUUACCUCCCAUCCUAGUCUCAGGGCCUGUGAAGGUGAACCCACUGGAGGUGGGCAGGGGACAGGAGGGAAGUUCCAGAAGCAACCAUCUGAGAGAG